CCCGGCAAUGAAUUGCCGGGCUAUUAUCGGGUGUCCCUACGGGACA
Non-coding RNA from Desulfobacteraceae bacterium IS3, 46 nucleotides. Lineage: Bacteria; Pseudomonadati; Thermodesulfobacteriota; Desulfobacteria; Desulfobacterales; Desulfobacteraceae. The record is from Rfam.